UUACCAUGCAGUCGACGGUGACACGGAGCUUGCUCUGUGGGAUCAGUGGCGAACGGGUGAGUAACACGUGAGCAACCUGCCCCUGACUCUGGGAUAAGCGCUGGAAACGGCGUCUAAUACUGGAUAUGUGACGUGACCGCAUGGUCUGCGUCUGGAAAGAAUUUCGGUUGGGGAUGGGCUCGCGGCCUAUCAGCUUGUUGGUGAGGUAAUGGCUCACCAAGGCGUCGACGGGUAGCCGGCCUGAGAGGGUGACCGGCCACACUGGGACUGAGACACGGCCCAGACUCCUACGGGAGGCAGCAGUGGGGAAUAUUGCACAAUGGGCGCAAGCCUGAUGCAGCAACGCCGCGUGAGGGACGACGGCCUUCGGGUUGUAAACCUCUUUUAGCAGGGAAGAAGCGAAAGUGACGGUACCUGCAGAAAAAGCGCCGGCUAACUACGUGCCAGCAGCCGCGGUAAUACGUAGGGCGCAAGCGUUAUCCGGAAUUAUUGGGCGUAAAGAGCUCGUAGGCGGUUUGUCGCGUCUGCUGUGAAAUCCGGAGGCUCAACCUCCGGCCUGCAGUGGGUACGGGCAGACUAGAGUGCGGUAGGGGAGAUUGGAAUUCCUGGUGUAGCGGUGGAAUGCGCAGAUAUCAGGAGGAACACCGAUGGCGAAGGCAGAUCUCUGGGCCGUAACUGACGCUGAGGAGCGAAAGGGUGGGGAGCAAACAGGCUUAGAUACCCUGGUAG
This 729-nucleotide ribosomal RNA is filed under the name Microbacterium sp. Y108. RNAcentral describes it as "bacterial SSU rRNA". It matches the Rfam family "Bacterial small subunit ribosomal RNA", at positions 49 to 793 of the family's 1533-position model. Lineage: Bacteria; Bacillati; Actinomycetota; Actinomycetes; Micrococcales; Microbacteriaceae. The record is from RNAcentral.